Molecule: ribosomal RNA, 2590 nt
Filed under: bovine gut metagenome
Description: bacterial LSU rRNA
Rfam family: Bacterial large subunit ribosomal RNA
Source: RNAcentral
GCAAACCACUAGCUUGCUAGUGGGGUUGUAGGACUGCAUAAAAGACUAAAAGCAGAUAGCAGAAUAAACUGGAAAGUUUAAUCAUAGAGGGUGAUAAUCCCGUAUGCGAAAUCUCCUUUUUACUUAGCAGUAUCCUGAGUAGGGCGGGGCACGAGAAACCCUGUCCGAAUCCGGGUCGACCACGAUCCAAGGCUAAAUACUAGACGGCUACCGAUAGCGUACAAGUACCGUGAGGGAAAGGUGAAAAGAACUGAGGUGAUCAGAGUGAAAUAGAACCUGAAACCGUUUGCUUACAAUCAUUCAGAGCCCUAUGAUUUAUCAGGGUGAUGGACUGCCUUUUGCAUAAUGAGCCUGCGAGUUGUGGUAUCUGGCAAGGUUAAGGAAACCCGGAGCCGUAGCGAAAGCGAGUCUUAAUAGGGCGCUAAGUCAGAUGCUGCAGACCCGAAACGAUGUGAUCUAUCCAUGAGCAGGUUGAAACCGGUGUAAGAACCGGUGGAGGACCGAACCGACGGCUGUUGAAAAAGCUCCGGAUGACUUGUGGAUAGGGGUGAAAGGCCAAUCAAACAUCGUGAUAGCUGGUUCUCUCCGAAAUAUAUCGAGGUAUAGCGUUGUGUCGUAAUUAUAAGGGGUAGAGCACUGAAUGGGCUAGGGCAUACACCAAUGUACCAAACCCUAUCAAACUCCGAAUACUUAUAAUGUAAUCACAGCAGUCAGGCGGCGAGUGAUAAAAUCCGUCGUCGAGAGGGGAACAACCCAGACUACCGACUAAGGUCCCUAAAUCUUAUUUAAGUGGAAAACGAUGUGGAGUUACUGAAACAACCAGGAGGUUGGCUUAGAAGCAGCCAUCCUUUAAAGAUAGCGUAAUAGCUCACUGGUCUAGUGAUUCUGCGCGGAAAAUAUAACGGGGCUAAAAUAAGUACCGAAGUCGUAGAUUUGCACCUUGUGCAAGUGGUAGGAGAGCGUUCUAUUCAGCGUCGAAGCCAUACCGGCAAGGAGUGGUGGAGCGGAUAGAAGUGAGCAUGCAGGCAUGAGUNNUACCGGUAAGGAGUGUUGGAGCGGAUAGGAGUGAGCAUGCAGGCAUGAGUAGCGAUAAAAUAUGUGAGAAUCAUAUUCGCCGUAAACCCAAGGUUUCCUACGCGAUGCUCGUCAUCGUAGGGUUAGUCGGGUCCUAAGCAAAGUCCGAAAGGGGUAUGCGAUGGAAAAUCGGUUAAUAUUCCGAUACCAAUAUUAGUGUGCGAUGGAAGGACGCUUAAAGUUAGGGGAGCCAGCUGAUGGAAGUGCUGGUCUAAGUGUGUAGGUUGAGUUAUAGGCAAAUCCGUAACUCUUUAUCCGAGACAUUAAAGGCUCUUGACGCUCUUCGGAGUAGAUUGAGAAUCCUUGAUACUAUCGAGCCAAGAAAAGUUUCUAAGUUUAGCUAAUAUUGCCCGUACCGUAAACCGACACAGGUGGGUGGGAUGAGUAUUCUAAGGCGCGUGGAAGAACUCUCUUUAAGGAACUCUGCAAAAUAGCACCGUAUCUUCGGUAUAAGGUGUGCCUAACUUUGUUAAGGAUUUACUCNNGCGAAGCAUCUGAUCGAAGCCCGAGUAAACGGCGGCCGUAACUAUAACGGUCCUAAGGUAGCGAAAUUCCUUGUCGGUUAAAUACCGACCUGCAUGAAUGGCGUAACGAGAUGGGAGCUGUCUCAAAGAGGGAUCCAGUGAAAUUGUAGUGGAGGUGAAAAUUCCUCCUACCCGCGGCAAGACGGAAAGACCCCGUGGACCUUUACUAUAGCUUGACACUGCUGCUUGGAUAAAGAUGCGCAGGAUAGGUGGGAGGCUUUGAUCCAUAUACUCCGGUGUAUGGUGAGCCAUUGUUGAGAUACCACUCUUCUUUAUUUGGGUAGCUAACUAGCCUAAGUUAUCCUUAGGUAGGACAAUGUCUGGUGGGUAGUUUGACUGGGGCGGUCGCCUCCCAAAAUGUAACGGAGGCUUACAAAGGUUGGCUCAAACCGGUUGGAAAUCGCUUGUAGAGUGUAAAGGCAUAAGCCAGCUUGACUGCGAGAGAGACAAUUCGAGCAGAGACGAAAGUCGGUCUUAGUGAUCCGGUGGUUCUGUGUGGAAGGGCCAUCGCUCAACGGAUAAAAGGUACCCCGGGGAUAACAGGCUGAUCUCCCCCAAGAGUCCACAUCGACGGGGAGGUUUGGCACCUCGAUGUCGGCUCGUCGCAUCCUGGGGCUGGAGCAGGUCCCAAGGGUUUGGCUGUUCGCCAUUUAAAGCGGUACGUGAGCUGGGUUCAGAACGUCGCGAGACAGUUCGGUCCCUAUCUGAUAUGGGCGUUGGAAAUUUGAGAGGAUCUGCCUUUAGUACGAGAGGACCGAGGUGGACGAACCUCUGGUGUACCGGUUGUUCCGCCAGGAGCAAGUGCCGGGUAGCUAAGUUCGGAACGGAUAACCGCUGAAAGCAUCUAAGCGGGAAGCCGGCCUCAAGAUUAGAUUUCCCUGGGAACUCGAUUCCCCUGAAGACUCCAGAGACACUAUCUGGUUGAUAGGCUGCAGGUGUAAGCAUCGCGAGGUGUUCAGCCGAGCAGUACUAAUAAGUCGUGAGGCUUGGCC